Molecule: ribosomal RNA, 202 nt
Filed under: uncultured Anoxybacillus sp.
Lineage: Bacteria; Bacillati; Bacillota; Bacilli; Caryophanales; Anoxybacillaceae
Description: partial 16S ribosomal RNA
Rfam family: Bacterial small subunit ribosomal RNA
Source: RNAcentral
UGACGUCAAAUCAUCAUGCCCCUUAUGACCUGGGCUACACACGUGCUACAAUGGGCGGUACAAAGGGUCGCGAACCGCGAGGGGGAGCCAAUCCCAAAAAGCCGCUCUCAGUUCGGAUUGCAGGCUGCAACUCGCCUGCAUGAAGCCGGAAUCGCUAGUAAUCGCGGAUCAGCAUGCCGCGGUGAAUACGUUCCCGGGCCUU